UACGGGGGGGGGCAAGCGUUGUUCGGAAUUACUGGGCGUAAAGGGCUCGUAGGCGGCCAACUAAGUCAGACGUGAAAUCCCUCGGCUUAACCGGGGAACUGCGUCUGAUACUGGUUGGCUUGAGUGUGGGAGAGGGAUGCGGAAUUCCAGGUGUAGCGGUGAAAUGCGUAGAUAUCUGGAGGAACACCGGUGGCGAAGGCGGCAUCCUGGACCAUUACUGACGCUGAGGAGCGAAAGCCAGGGGAGCAAAGCGGG
This 255-nucleotide ribosomal RNA is filed under the name uncultured bacterium. Its description in RNAcentral is "partial 16S ribosomal RNA". It matches the Rfam family "Bacterial small subunit ribosomal RNA", at positions 524 to 777 of the family's 1533-position model. The record is from RNAcentral.